RNAcentral lists this long non-coding RNA (215 nucleotides) under Elaeis guineensis (African oil palm). Its description in RNAcentral is "long non-coding RNA (EGUI_LNC023982)". The record is from RNAcentral. Lineage: Eukaryota; Viridiplantae; Streptophyta; Magnoliopsida; Arecales; Arecaceae.
GCAUACUUAGUUGGCAUCUAAACAUAUAAUCUUAGUUUUGGUAACCCACAAAACCAAAUUCAAAAUAGUUCAUAGCAGAUUAUCCAUCUUAAUUACUUUAUAUAUCUGAUCCAUCAUCUCAUAAUUGACUUGUUCAGACCUGGUAUUCAAUCUUUCGCUAGCUACAUCCAGGGUUCUUCUUAACUCCAAACUCCACCAUCAUCCUCCUCAUUCUC